ACAUCAGCUAACAGAGCCCACCUGAAACUGCUGGGCUUGGGAAUGCUCCUGGGAGUUGAAGCCCCCAGCCGACUGGAAAGGCUAUCCCAAGAGCCAUGAGGAUUACAAUAAAAAUCACGAUGAUGUCUCGCUUUUCACAGUGCUUGGUGGUUCUUGAGCACUUGUUCUAUGCCAGGCCCUGGUCCAAAAGCAGACAUCCUCUUCAUUGUGCACCUACUAUGGGCAGACUGUCUAGAGGACCAGGCAAAGCUGCGCAAUGGCUAAAACCAUGGGUCCCAGAUUGACUGAAUUCAAGGUGGAGCUCUGCCACUUUCUAGCUGUGUGACCUCAGGCGCGGUGGCUUAUGCCUGUAAUCCCAGCACUUUGGGAGGCUGAGGCAGAUGGAUCACGAGGUCAAGAGAUCGAGACCUUCCUGGCCAACAUGCUGGAAGAAUUUUUCAAAUGGUUUUUGCGAGAAAGUUCAAACCCUGGAAUGACUAAGUCGCUGGAAGAAUUUGGACUUUGUGAGGGGAAUUUGCACUUGGUAUGAAUCACCCAGUCACUGAUUCCUGCAGUGAGAAGACCUUUCGGAAAGCUUCUGGGUCAGCCCCCUCGUACACAUGGGGAAACCGAGGCUCAAGGAGGGGAAGGACUUCAGCCAAGGUCCCACAGCAUGUCUGUGGAAAUGACAGGACUGGAAUCAGGUCUAGCUCCUGGAACAGCUUUGGAUUUGCAAGAAGCUCUCAAGCACCCAGUCUCCAUAGGUGGGCACAUUUUCCAAACAGUAGAGGAACAGAAAGAACAAGAGGGUUCUGAGGAGUUAGAACUCACCAUAGAGUUAUGGAAGGAAUGGGGAAGGGAUUGCCGGAAGGUAUUUUAUAUGAAAUAGCUCAUUUAAUCCUCCCCAGGAUCCUAUUAGGCAGUGGUUCUAAACUAGGGUUGAUUUUGCCCCCAGAGGACAUUUGGCAAGAUCAGGGGACAUUUUAGGUUUGUCACAGCUUGAGUGGGAGUUGCUACUGGCAUCUCUUGGCAGUGAAUACCCUAUGUGGUAGAGGCCAGGGAUACCGCUAAACAUCCUGCAAUGCACAGGACAGCCUCACAACAAAGAAUUAUCCAGCCCAAAAUGUCAAUAGUGUUGGGUCUGAGAAGCCCUGCUAUGCAGAGGGCGCUUGUAUAUACAUAUCAAUUUAACAGCCAAGAAAGCCGAGGCUCAGAAAGUGUAGCCACUCGCUAGCCACGUGGUCUUGGGCAAAUUAGCCUCUCUGUGUCUCAGUUUCCUUAUCUGUAAAAUGGAGGCAACAGUACCUCUGUUACCUAAAUAAACAUUUGUAAAGCACUUAGAA
Molecule: long non-coding RNA, 1322 nt
Organism: Homo sapiens (human)
Lineage: Eukaryota; Metazoa; Chordata; Mammalia; Primates; Hominidae
Source: Ensembl